This 344-nucleotide ribosomal RNA is filed under the name uncultured bacterium. RNAcentral's name for it is "bacterial SSU rRNA". It matches the Rfam family "Bacterial small subunit ribosomal RNA", at positions 8 to 334 of the family's 1533-position model. The record is from RNAcentral.
AGAGUUUGAUUAUGGCUCAGGACGAACGCUGGCGGCGUGCUUAACACAUGCAAGUCGAACGGAGCGCCAUGGAAUGAGGUUUCGGCCAAAGGAAAUGGUUGCUUAGUGGCGGACUGGUGAGUAACGCGUGAGGAACCUGCCUUUCAGAGGGGGACAACAGUUGGAAACGACUGCUAAUACCGCAUGACGCAUUUAGGGGGCAUCCCUUGAAUGCCAAAGAUUUAUCGCUGAAAGAUGGCCUCGCGUCCGAUUAGAUAGUUGGCGGGGUAACGGCCCACCAAGUCGACGAUCGGUAGCCGGACUGAGAGGUUGGCCGGCCACAUUGGGACUGAGAUACGGCCCAG